This 464-nucleotide ribosomal RNA is filed under the name uncultured bacterium. RNAcentral describes it as "partial 16S ribosomal RNA". It matches the Rfam family "Bacterial small subunit ribosomal RNA", at positions 28 to 507 of the family's 1533-position model. The record is from RNAcentral.
GACGAACGCUGGCGGCGUGCUUAACACAUGCAAGUCGAGCGGAAAGGCCCUUUCGGGGGUACUCGAGCGGCGCACGGGUGAGUAACACGUGAGUAAUCUGCCCUUCACUUGGGGAUAACCUCCGGAAACGGUGGCUAAUACCCGAUACGACCAUUCCUCGCAUGAGGUGGUGGUGGAAAGUUUUUCGGUGGGGGAUGUGCUCGCGGCCUAUCAGCUUGUUGGUGGGGUAAUGGCCUACCAAGGCUUCGACGGGUAGCCGGCCUGAGAGGGUGACCGGCCACACUGGGACUGAGACACGGCCCAGACUCCUACGGGAGGCAGCAGUGGGGAAUAUUGGACAAUGGGCGGAAGCCUGAUCCAGCAACGCCGCGUGAGGGAUGACGGCCUUCGGGUUGUAAACCUCUUUCACCUGUGACGAAGCGAAAGUGACGGUAGCAGGAGAAGAAGCACCGGCCAACUACGUG